Molecule: non-coding RNA, 1180 nt
Organism: Pelobates cultripes (western spadefoot toad)
Lineage: Eukaryota; Metazoa; Chordata; Amphibia; Anura; Pelobatidae
Source: the annotation of a GenBank genome assembly
GUCACAUACCGCUGGGGCCCGGCUCACACCCUGAUGGUAACAAAAGGCGAAGAUACGCAUAAAAUUCACUGCAUACAAGAGGCACCGAUGAUCCUGGGGCUGCUCGGCCUCCCCCCGAACGCAUUGACCCAGCCAGCACCUAAGGACAGACCUCGGAACCCCCCAAGUUGGGAAACAGCUAGCGCUGCUGAAUUUGUCCCCAGACGACAGAAAGAAUCACCCACCGUCGCUGCCACGACCUGAAGGUCAAUUCUGGACUGAGUGAGUUACCGGGACAUUGCCCCACCAUCAGGCAUAUUAUGCAUAGGGACGGCCAUGCACAACCCAAACCCACACUACUGAACAACCCAAUCGUUUACACCCCAUCAUUAUGUUUAGCACUAUGACUUCAACUGUUUCCCCUUUCCUUGUUAUUUUCUCUCGAACACCAUAGUGAGCUUGUAGUUCACACCAACCAGUUAAAUCUGAUGCCAGAAAUGUUCACUCACCUCUUAGUACACUCGAUAUUACCUUGCCAAAUUAUAACAAUAUACAUUGUUUUAUUCCUGAUACGACACUGUUUGUGCCCAUAGACCUGUGGUCGCGAAUGAGGCACUAUGGAAUUAUAUGUACUAUGCAUAGCAUAACAAAAACUAACUUUUAAGGGAGGGAAAAGAUAGGUUAUCAAAGGAGAAGAGGAGGAGGGGAAAGGGGAGGAAUAAUCUAGGUGUUAAGGUGUAUUGGACUGCUCACACCCGAGUUCUGUUGUCUUCCUAGUUUAUCGUAUUUUAUUACACUUUUUCAUCACCUAGUACUUCGACCAUCAAACGUAGUCUCUGGUACAAACUCGCAUAUUAAUCACUAUUUAUGUUAAGCUUGAUCUCCCCGCUGACAUAACCAUAAGAAAUGAACGCUGAGUAUCCACCUCAGCAUCCUUACGGGUGAUUCUUCUGUGUAUAACUUAACCAGAGACCGCUUAGGUCAAAAAAUGCCAGAUUGUUUAUUUCCCUUUAUUUUUUAAUGCUAACGUGGACAUGGUAUGUCCCUCUUUGUUUGGUGGUAUAUUACUUUCCUUAUAUAUUUACCUUUAACAUUUAACCUAAUUUUCAUUUAAUUGCACUUAACCUAGCCAAACUUUAUUAUUUUCUAUCAAGUCAGUAAGUCAACCAGUAUUAACACCUGUACUUAUAGCCUUAACUGA